Tachysurus fulvidraco (yellow catfish) is the source of this 1012-nucleotide long non-coding RNA. RefSeq lists it as uncharacterized. The record is from RefSeq and is a predicted model, not a curated record. The transcript is spliced from 2 exons. NCBI's taxonomy places the organism in Eukaryota, Metazoa, Chordata, Actinopteri, Siluriformes, Bagridae.
CAGAGCAAAAACACAGACAGACUUAUUACUGUGUUUCUAUCUAUCAUGUUGUUCCAUUACCUCCUAUACAGCAGUUCAUUUAUUCCUGCCCUCUAUACUUACCCUUGCAUUGUUUCAAUUUCUAAUUGACUAUAAUAUACAUUUAGUCAAGCUCCUGUAGAUAUUCUAAUUAGAUCUCAAUACUGUGCUUCAAAAAUUGUGCAUGGAAUUUUAUGGAAAUUGAAAAAUGCAAAUGCUGAGAUUCCAAUAUGAAUCCUUACAGACUGUGGCCAUGCUUUUAGCCAAACUCCUCAUUGAAAGAAGAAAUAAUGUCUUUCUUCCAAUCCCAGUAUAGAAAGAAAAGGAUUGCUCAUAACCCAUGAAGAUCGUCCAUAGCAGACUAACAUCCCAAGUACAGUAUGUCAGAACCUUCCUAUAUCACAUCAGACGAGACAUCAGAGGAGAAAGACCAGAGUGCUUAGCUGUCAGGAAGUCUACAGUGACUGAAAUAACUGCUCUUUACAAACAUGUGCCGGAUCCUGACUCAACCCCCAUGCAAAGACUCCUGAUGCUCUACUCCUGCUGUCGUCAUGCUUCAUCAUCUGGAGCUUUCAGCACUUGUGAUUUACCGCCUGCUGCUGUGGGGAUUCUCAGCUGGAGAUCCAAGAAACCCUCCUGCACCACCUGCAAAUAAAGGGUCAUGCUAAAAAACCGGUAUAAUAUCUGUUGCUGUAAUCAUACUGUACUCCUCUCCUCUUCUCUAUAUAAAACCUUCAGGAGUUUUAUCUUUCCACUGACUUGCUCAUUAGGGAUCCAGAUUUCUGUGAAUCUGUUCUUAAUGAGCUUUGUCUGUGGUCUAUAUUAAAAGUUAUUACACAUUUUAAUUGAUUUACUCUGGUAGUGUGUUGGAGCCCUUUUUCUUUUACAGGUGCUGGCAAUGUGGAAGCACUGUUCAUGUUUAUGUUAUAAAAUAGCGUUCUCAAGAGUGAUAUCAUGGAAACUACAAUUAAAUAAUUGUUAUAUUUUUAUUCCU